AACGUAGGUGGCGAGCGUUAUCCGGAUUUACUGGGCGUAAAGCGCGUUCAGGCGGCUUGACAAGUCGGGCAUGAAAUCUCUCGGCUCAACCGGGAGGGGCUGUCCGAUACUGUCGGGCUUGAGGGCAGUAGAGGGUGGUGGAAUUCCGGGUGUAGUGGUGAAAUGCGUAGAUAUCCGGAGGAACACCAGUGGCGAAAGCGGCCACCUGGACUGUACCUGACGCUCAAACGCGAAAGCUAGGGGAGCGAACGGG
This 253-nucleotide ribosomal RNA is filed under the name uncultured bacterium. Its description in RNAcentral is "partial 16S ribosomal RNA". It matches the Rfam family "Bacterial small subunit ribosomal RNA", at positions 524 to 776 of the family's 1533-position model. The record is from RNAcentral.